AUGUACAUGCCUACAACAUAGCAUUAAUGCAUUGGAUCCCAUUAUAACUCUACAGUUAAGAGCGUUAUGGCUAGAGUAGUAUUUGGAUGAGUGAUCUCCUAGGAAGUCCUAGUGUUUUACAUG
Molecule: non-coding RNA, 123 nt
Organism: Picea glauca (white spruce)
Lineage: Eukaryota; Viridiplantae; Streptophyta; Pinopsida; Pinales; Pinaceae
Source: Rfam